CCUACGGGAGGCAGCAGUGGGGAAUUUUCCGCAAUGGGCGAAAGCCUGACGGAGCAACGCCGCGUGAGGGAUGAAGGCCUCUGGGCUGUAAACCUCUUUUAUCAAGGAAGAAGAUCUGACGGUACUUGAUGAAUAAGCCACGGCUAAUUCCGUGCCAGCAGCCGCGGUAAUACGGGAGUGGCAAGCGUUAUCCGGAAUUAUUGGGCGUAAAGCGUCCGCAGGCGGUCUUGUAAGUCUGUCGUUAAAGCGUGGAGCUUAACUCCAUUUCGGCGGUGGAAACUACAAGACUAGAGUGUGGUAGGGGCAGAGGGAAUUCCCAGUGUAGCGGUGAAAUGCGUAGAUAUCGGGAAGAACACCAGUGGCGAAGGCGCUCUGCUGGGCCAUAACUGACGCUCAUGGACGAAAGCUAGGGGAGCGAAAGGGAUUAGAUACCCCUGUAGUCCUAGCCGUAAACGAUGAACACUAGGUGUCGGGGGAAUCGACCCCCUCGGUGUCGUAGCUAACGCGUUAAGUGUUCCGCCUGGGGAGUACGCACGCAAGUGUGAAACUCAAAGGAAUUGACGG
This 564-nucleotide ribosomal RNA is filed under the name uncultured bacterium. RNAcentral's name for it is "bacterial SSU rRNA". It matches the Rfam family "Bacterial small subunit ribosomal RNA", at positions 338 to 916 of the family's 1533-position model. The record is from RNAcentral.